UUCUACGGAGAGUUUGAUCCUGGCUCAGGAUGAACGCUAGCGGUGUGCCUAAUGCAUGCAAGUCGAACGGGAAGCUUUGGACUCGUCUGAAGCGGAGAGUGGCGAACGGGUGAGUAACACGUUGGUGACCUACCCCAAAGAGGGGGACAACCAUUGGAAACGAUGGCUAAUACCCCAGAUGUAUAACUAUUUAGAAAGGUUAUACUAAAGCUCCGGCGCUUUGGGAGGGGCCUGCGGUCCAUCAGCUAGUUGGUAAGGUAAAGGCUUACCAAGGCAAAGACGGAUAGGGGGCGUGAGAGCGUGACCCCCCACACUGGUACUGAGACACGGACCAGAUACCUGCGGGUAGCAGCAGCAAGGAAUAUUGCCCAAUGGACGGAAGUCUGAGGCAGCAACACCGCGUGGAGGAUGAAGGCCUUCGGGUCGUAAACUCCUUUUCUGGGGGAAGAGAAAGGACGGUACCCCAGGAAUAAGUCUCGGCUAACUACGUGCCAGCAGCCGCGGUAAAACGUAGGAGGCGAGCGUUAUCCGGAAUUAUUGGGCGUAAAGCGCAUGCAGGCUGUUAUCAAAGUCGGACGUGAAAGCUCCUGGCUCAACUGGGAGAGGCCGUUCGAAACUAGGUAACUUGAGGAUGGUAGAGGUAAGUGGAAUUCCCGGUGUAGUGGUGAAAUGCGUAGAUAUCGGGAGGAACACCAGUGGCGAAGGCGGCUUACUGGGCCAUUCCUGACGCUCAGAUGCGAAAGCUAGGGGAGAGAACGGGAUUAGAAACCCCGGUAUUCCUAGCCGUAAACGAUGUCAACUAGGCGUAGGUGGUUAUUGACCCCAUCUGUGCUGCAGCUAACGCGUUAAGUUGACCGCCUGGGGACUACGGCCGCAAGGCUAAAACUCAAAGGAAUUGACGGGGACCCGCACAAGCAGCGGAGCGUGUGGUUUAAUUCGAGGCUACGCGAAGAACCUUACCAGAGUUUGACAUAUGCGUGGUAGGGAAGAGAAAUCGGAACGACCCUUCGGGGAGCGCAUACAGGUGCUGCAUGGCUGUCGUCAGCUCGUGCCGUGAGGUGUUAGGUUAAGUCCUGUAACGAGCGCAACCCUCGUCGUUAGUUAUAAGUGUCUAACGAGACUGCCGGUGAUAAGCCGGAGGAAGGUGGGGAUGACGUCAAGUCAGCAUGGCCUUUAUAUUCUGGGCUACACACACGCUACAAUGGCCGGUACAAUGGGUAGCCAAGCCGCGAGGCGGAGCCAAUCCUACAAAGCCGGUCUCAGUUCGGAUUGCAGGCUGCAACUCGCCUGCAUGAAGUCGGAGUUGCUAGUAAACGCGCGUCAGCACAGUGCGUUGAAUACGUUCCCGGGUCUUGUACACACCGCCCGUCACGUCAUGGAAGUUGGCAACGCCUGAAGUCAGUGAGCUAACCAAAAGGGGGCAACUGCCUAAGGCGGGGUCGGUAACUGGGACGAAGUCGUAACAAGGUAGCUGUAGCGGAAGCUGCGGCUGGAUCACCUCCUUUUA
This 1507-nucleotide ribosomal RNA is filed under the name Chloroflexota bacterium. RNAcentral's name for it is "bacterial SSU rRNA". It matches the Rfam family "Bacterial small subunit ribosomal RNA". The record is from RNAcentral. Lineage: Bacteria; Bacillati; Chloroflexota.